This 64-nucleotide transfer RNA is filed under the name Echinostoma revolutum. Its description in RNAcentral is "tRNA-Leu". The record is from RNAcentral. Lineage: Eukaryota; Metazoa; Platyhelminthes; Trematoda; Plagiorchiida; Echinostomatidae.
UUUAGAGUGCCAGAUUAUAUGGGUGUGAUUUAGGAUUAUAUUAAGGCUUUUUUAGUCCUCUAGC